GGGUGUGAGGGCGAUCUGGCUGUGACAUCUGUCACCCCAUUGAUGGCCAGGGUUGAGUCAGCUGAUCUGGCUGGCUAGGCGGGUGUCCCCUUCUUCCUUGCCACUCCACGUGCCACCCUCCCAAAGCUGUGCACUCAAAAGAGGACGACCUUCCUGGAAUAGAGAUGGACAGGUCUUCCCUCCAGGGUAUAUGAGUAGCUGUGCUCCCUCGCUAGAACCUCCAGACAAGCUCUCAAAUACUGGGAGGUACGAGGCCAGUAAGAACACUUUCCCUGAUGUCCUGGAGUUUCUGAGGGCAUCUG
This is an unclassified non-coding RNA of Erinaceus europaeus (western European hedgehog), 302 nucleotides long. Its record names the gene 7SK. It matches the Rfam family "7SK RNA". Rfam says of the family: 7SK was discovered as an abundant small nuclear RNA in the mid-70s but a possible function has only recently been suggested. Two independent studies have found that 7SK RNA binds the CDK9/cyclin T complex (known as elongation factor P-TEFb). Lineage: Eukaryota; Metazoa; Chordata; Mammalia; Eulipotyphla; Erinaceidae. The record is from Ensembl.